Molecule: long non-coding RNA, 1878 nt
Organism: Cavia porcellus (domestic guinea pig)
Lineage: Eukaryota; Metazoa; Chordata; Mammalia; Rodentia; Caviidae
Exons: 2
Source: RefSeq, a predicted model, not a curated record
CGUGCACGAACGCUACUGCCGACUCAGUCUGCCUGGGCAUCCACAGCCACUUACAGCAAACCAGCUGGAAAUCCAGGCUCAGGGUGCAAAAGUCUCAAGGUGAAGAUAGGCCAUGCUUCCACAAGGUGGACUGACAGGCUCAGUUCUCUGCAAGGGUAACAUACUUACAAGGAACAUGGAAUUCACUGCCUAUUCUGUUAGCAUCCUCAGCUCCCUGCCUGUACCACAAGUACGCAGGCAGCAGACACCCUCUACCUCUCCCUCCCUCCCUUCUCCCUGCCUCCCUCUCCUCCCUUCCCUCCCAUCUCUGCACAGAGCUGCCUGGUAGGAAUUUUGAAGGAUCCUCCCUGGCUCUGGGAGGGAGAGCAUAGGAGGUUAACGUGUAGGAAGGGAAGGGAUGCUGCUUAGGACAAAAAGGCAAAUUAUUGUCGAAAAUCAAAUCAUGCAGCAUUUUCUCUGGAAGAUGUCAAUAAGGAAAAAAAAAAAGAAGAGGAUGAAGGGAAUCUGCCCAGCCUUGUUAUGUGAGUGGCUCAAACAGCUUCCCAGAGUCAAAGAUUUAAUAAAAUCAUGACAUCUUUCUUCACAAGCACUGCCAAGUUUGUAUCGUCUCAUGGAGUCCGCAACUCCAACUAAAAAUGAUUGCCGAUUUAUUCACAAUAUGUUUCUGGAUCCUUUGCUGAUGUUUUUCCCUUCACUCACCAGCUACAAUGACUCCAAAAAUUCUUUGACAUUAACUAGAUGGUGUAAAAUGCAGGAGAAAAAAGCCAAAUUUGUAAAUGAGAAACUGGGUGAAACUAAGGGCCUUGAAGUGUCCCUGUGUACAGGGAGGCUGUGGCCCCUAGAUGCUUUGUACUUUUAACAGUAUUUAUCUGAUCGUCACAGUAUUUAUCUGAUCUGGCACAGAGGAAGUUCUAAAAAUGUUCACUGGGUGGAGAAGAGGAUGGCCUCCCAUUGUUUCUCCUGAGGGGACCCGGGGACCUUGCAGCUUGCCUCCAUGUUGUGAGCCUGGAUUCGGACACAUUGCCCUCUGGAGAUGCUGAGUAACCUUGUCAUCAGGUACCUGGAGACUCACAGUGAGGUGGCAGAGCUGUGGCCUUGCAUAGAGCUGCAAGCAAAUUCCAGAUACUGAGGGCUUCAUAACAUUGCUCGAAUAUUAGUAUUUAAAAAUAGUUACAGUGAUUUAAGAAACAUAUCUCCACUACUGAUUGAAGAACCGAACCCUAACUGAACCUGCAGGUAGACUUCUGCAUGAAUUCAGCUGGCAUGUGAGAGAGUCCUACUUCGUACCUCUGCCUUCUUCUGAGGACUUUGCAAUCUAGUCACUGAAGGCGGGGCCACAGAGCCACAAGAUGACACUGGGAAAGUGAAACAUGGAUCAAAUGAGAGUGGACAUGAGUUGUUUGUGUCCAUGGGCUCAAGAGUGAAGCAGGGCUCUGGCCAGAUGUGGAAGGUCCAUUCUUGGAACAGUCCAUUGAGGGGUGGAUGGAGCGGGAGCCAAUAGCCUGGCAUUACCUGUGGCUCUUGGAGUCAAAUGCACCCUGUGGGAGGUGAACUCCCUAUACUUCAAGACUGUGUUAUCUGCACCUCAAGCACCCAUGAGAGGUGUUUUAUUGAGCCCAGAAGUACAGGGAAAAAUCCACAGACUUUGAGAGUCAAUCAGAGAGGACCAGAGAGAGCAUGGAGUCUUGAGUCUCCUCCCUUGUGUGUGUGCUGGAAACCACUCCAACACCUGACUGUGGCCUGGCGGAGUUGGGGACAGCUGGCAGUGCUGGACUGAAUGACAAUGACAGCAGCUGGUAUCUCAAAAAACCAAGGAUUCCCAGGGUACAUGGGACUGGGUAUAUCUGAGAAGUAAAUAAAUUGAGUCUUCUCAAAGUA